UCUGCCUCUAAGGGAAGCUAGGUGGCAGAGUGGGUAGAGGAUGGGUCUUGAAGUCAGGAUGUCCUGAAUUCAAAUCUAGCCUCAGACA
This is a small nucleolar RNA of Monodelphis domestica (gray short-tailed opossum), 88 nucleotides long. The record is from Ensembl. NCBI's taxonomy places the organism in Eukaryota, Metazoa, Chordata, Mammalia, Didelphimorphia, Didelphidae.